CGAAUACUCCCGCCCGGCGACCGGCGCACGGGUGCGUAACGCGUAUGCAACCUACCUUUAACAGGGCAUAACACUGAGAAAUUGGUACUAAUUCCCCAUAACAUUCGAGAAGGCAUCUUCUUGGGUUAAAAACUCCGGUGGUUAAAGAUGGGCAUGCGUUGUAUUAGCUAGUUGGUGAGGUAACGGCUCACCAAGGCAACGAUACAUAGGGGGACUGAGAGGUUAACCCCCCACAUUGGUACUGAGACACGGACCAA
This 257-nucleotide ribosomal RNA is filed under the name uncultured bacterium. Its description in RNAcentral is "partial 16S ribosomal RNA". It matches the Rfam family "Bacterial small subunit ribosomal RNA", at positions 75 to 334 of the family's 1533-position model. The record is from RNAcentral.